Molecule: long non-coding RNA, 381 nt
Organism: Callorhinus ursinus (northern fur seal)
Lineage: Eukaryota; Metazoa; Chordata; Mammalia; Carnivora; Otariidae
Source: RefSeq, a predicted model, not a curated record
AACAAGGACUACCUAGUCUCGCCUUCAAGAAAUCUUCUGCUAACCUCUCUGCCAGAAUGAAGUUUAAUCAUUCUUCUUUUCUGUUUUAUCCAGGAUUUUGUUAAACCAAAACCCAUCUUUUCACAGCAACUGGAAAGAAGUAGAAAAAAAGAAGGACUAGAAGUGGAUUGUUCCUUCCGUUCCAUAGAUGGUAGAACCUUGCAUAUCCUUGACUUCUUACUCAGCCUAGUCCUUACCUCGUGGUGGCUGCGGACAUCACACUUUGACAAGAUACAUUGUUUGGAAGACCUUUCUAACACCUACAGAAAGUGCUUGGGAGAGACUAACGAAGAUUAGGAAAACUAUAUCUAUUUUGAAGAUAAUGGGAGACAUAGUCUCACU